GACGAACGCUGGCGGCAUGCUUAACACAUGCAAGUCGAACGGGAAGUCCUGCUUUCCCUUGUGGAUUGCGGGUACUCGCGUAGCGAACGGGUGAGGAACACGUGAGUGAUCUGCCCCCAACUUGGUUAUACGCCUGGGACACUGGGUCUAAUUCCCGAUACGACUGCAGGGUGGUGCCUGUGCUGGAAAACGAUUUUCUAGUGGAUGGGGAUGGGCUCGCGGCCUAUCGGCUUGUGGGUGGGGUAAUGACCUACCAAGGCGGCGACGGGUAGCAGGCCAGAGAGCGUGGACGGCCAGAUUGGGACUGAGACAAGGCCGAGACUCCUACGCGAGGCAGAAGUGGGGGAUAGUGCGCAAUGGGGGGAAGUCUGAAGCAGGGAAGCGGCGUGGGGGAUGACGGCGUUCGGGUGGUAAACUCCUUUGGAUCGUGAGGAAGUCUCCUGGUUGGAAGGGUGGUGACGGUAGUGGUAGAAGAAGCACCGGCUAACUACGUG
RNAcentral lists this ribosomal RNA (494 nucleotides) under uncultured bacterium. RNAcentral describes it as "partial 16S ribosomal RNA". It matches the Rfam family "Bacterial small subunit ribosomal RNA", at positions 28 to 507 of the family's 1533-position model. The record is from RNAcentral.